AACGCUAGCUACAGGCUUAACACAUGCAAGUCGAGGGGAAACGACAUCAAAAGCUUGCUUUUGAUGGGCGUCGACCGGCGCACGGGUGAGUAACGCGUAUCCAACCUGCCCACCACUUGGGGAUAACCUUGCGAAAGUAAGACUAAUACCCAAUGACGUCUCUAGAAGACAUCUGAAAGAGAUUAAAGAUUUAUCGGUGAUGGAUGGGGAUGCGUCUGAUUAGCUUGUUGGCGGGGUAACGGCCCACCAAGGCUACGAUCAGUAGGGGUUCUGAGAGGAAGGUCCCCCACAUUGGAACUGAGACACGGUCCAAACUCCUACGGGAGGCAGCAGUGAGGAAUAUUGGUCAAUGGACGAGAGUCUGAACCAGCCAAGUAGCGUGCAGGAUGACGGCCCUAUGGGUUGUAAACUGCUCUUAUAAGGGAAUAAAGUGAGUCUCGUGAGACUUUUUGCAUGUACCUUAUGAAUAAGGACCGGCUAAUUCCGUGCCAGCAGCCGCGGUAAUACGGAAGGUCCGGGCGUUAUCCGGAUUUAUUGGGUUUAAAGGGAGCGUAGGCCGGAGAUUAAGCGUGUUGUGAAAUGUAGAUGCUCAACAUCUGCACUGCAGCGCGAACUGGUUUCCUUGAGUACGCACAAAGUGGGCGGAAUUCGUGGUGUAGCGGUGAAAUGCUUAGAUAUCACGAAGAACUCCGAUUG
Molecule: ribosomal RNA, 696 nt
Filed under: uncultured bacterium
Lineage: Bacteria
Description: bacterial SSU rRNA
Rfam family: Bacterial small subunit ribosomal RNA
Source: RNAcentral